AUAACUCCAUAAGUGAUAUGUUAAAGUUAAAAGACGAAGGAUAUAUUACGAACCAGAGAUCGUACAUGCGUUGAGAAGACAUGUACCAAAAUAAAAGUGCACGGCAAGAAUGAAAAAAUGCGUCAGCGGGACUUCUGAAGGUAAUUCUUUUAUGAUAUUUCUUUUCAUAGUAAAAAGACAUCUGUUAAAUUAUCUGUUAAAUUUCACCCUUCGCCGAAUCGAUCGGCAGUUACGUACACAUACACCUUCCAGAGUAAUUUGUAUUGCCUAUAGACCGAUCGCAGUACUAUUUCGCAAUCGUUCCAUAUUAUACUAAAUUAAAGAAAUUUAUGCGAUCAUUUAUGCUAGAAAAAAAGUGGUGGAUUUUCUAAUCGAUAGAUGGUGAAAGAGGGGAUAAUAAAUACAUCCUUGCUCUUCGCCGUCACAUGUGUUCAAACAGUCACGACGGAAUGAUUUGUCUUGAAGUUCCGUAUUUUAGUCUCAAUGAAAUUCUUUUGCGAGCUACUGGAUUAUGGCCUUUUCAACAACAAAAACUCGCUCGAAUUCAGUUUAGUCUAUUCUUUAGUAUCUUGACAACCGCUGUCAUAUUUCAAAUAACAACAUUUGCAACUUCAAAAUGUACUUCAAAAUUUGUCGUGAAAGUUUUGUCUUCUGCAUUAUCUUGCACCAUGGUGGUGAUACAUUAUAGCUCGUUCUAUAUCAACAUCGAAACCGUGAGAAAUUUGCUGACAGAACUUCAUCAUAUAUGUGAGCAGUUAAAAGACGAAAACGAAAUUGCUAUUAUAGAAAAAUACGGCUACAAAGGAAAACGUUUCACGACAGUACUUACAGCGCUCUCUGCUAGUUUCAUAUUUGCUGUUCUUGUCAAUCAGUUUUGUCCAGGCAUUUUUGAUGUUAUUCUGUCUAUAAAUAAAUCUCGAUCACAUCACUUAUAUCUCAAGAUGGAAUAUUUUCUUGAUCAAGAAAAGUAUCUCUAUUUCAUUCUACUUCACAUAAGCCUUGCAAUUAGUAUAGCAGUAGCUGUAUUAAUAGCAAUAGGAACAAUGUUCAUUGCGUAUCUUCAACAUACUUGCGGAAUGUUUAGAAUUGCUAGUUAUCGUAUCGAAUAUGCUAUGGGAGUUGAUAUGUUACAAAAUAUUUGUUUAACAAAUGAACAUUUGGUAUACAAAGGUAUAGUUUGUGCCAUAAAUAUUCAUCGACAAGCUACAAAAUUGUCUAAGUGUUUAAUAUCUAAUUUUGAUACAACAUACUUCUUUUUGGUAAUAAUGUCAGUAAUCUCAUUAAGUCUUAAUCUUUUUCAAGUUGCAACAUUUCAAAAUGAUAUUUCGGAGAUUGUUUUACCUAUGAUAAUUAUAUUUUUUAUUAGUAUGUAUUUAUUCUUCGGCAAUUACAUGGGGCAGCAUAUAACGGAUCACAAUAAUCACGUAUUUGCAACGGUGUACAACGUUCAAUGGUACAUGUAUCCACUACAUGUACAAAAACUGAUGUUAUUUUUAUUACAAAGAGGUGGUAGAGAAUUUCAUCUAACGUGCGGUGGACUGUUCGUAGCAUCAUUCGAAUGUUUUGCCACGGUAAAAAUUAGUGAAGACCGCAGUGUCUUAUUUUACUGUCAUAUAUUCCAUGCAAUGAUCAGCAGGACAAGUGGCGAACUACAAACAAAAGUCACGAAAAAUAGGAACGACUUGAAAAUUAUUUAGAUACUGGUCCAUGAAAUUGUGUUAACAAUGACUGACAAUUAAUUUAUAAUAAUAAAAUGACUGAUAACAAUGAAGUAGAUGCGUUGGAUACAUUACAACUGAGACAACUGAUCACAUGAAAAUAAACAUAUAAAAUCCUUGUUAGAAACCACAAUACAAGCAGAAUUAAUUUUGCACAAAUUAUCAUACACAUGCGCGCCUGCG
RNAcentral lists this unclassified non-coding RNA (1901 nucleotides) under Ooceraea biroi (clonal raider ant). RNAcentral's name for it is "uncharacterized LOC105286930, transcript variant X7". Lineage: Eukaryota; Metazoa; Arthropoda; Insecta; Hymenoptera; Formicidae. The record is from RNAcentral.